RNAcentral lists this ribosomal RNA (728 nucleotides) under Bacillus sp. PSu3_37. Its description in RNAcentral is "bacterial SSU rRNA". It matches the Rfam family "Bacterial small subunit ribosomal RNA", at positions 56 to 766 of the family's 1533-position model. Lineage: Bacteria; Bacillati; Bacillota; Bacilli; Caryophanales; Bacillaceae. The record is from RNAcentral.
UGACAGUCGAGCGGACCGACGGGAGCUUGCUCCCUUAGGUCAGCGGCGGACGGGUGAGUAACACGUGGGUAACCUGCCUGUAAGACUGGGAUAACUCCGGGAAACCGGGGCUAAUACCGGAUGCUUGAUUGAACCGCAUGGUUCAAUCAUGAAAGGCGGCUUCGGCUGCCGUUUACAGAUGGACCCGCGGCGCAUUAGCUAGUUGGUGAGGUAACGGCUCACCAAGGCGACGAUGCGUAGCCGACCUGAGAGGGUGAUCGGCCACACUGGGACUGAGACACGGCCCAGACUCCUACGGGAGGCAGCAGUAGGGAAUCUUCCGCAAUGGACGAAAGUCUGACGGAGCAACGCCGCGUGAGUGAUGAAGGUUUUCGGAUCGUAAAGCUCUGUUGUUAGGGAAGAACAAGUACCGUUCGAAUAGGGCGGUACCUUGACGGUACCUAACCAGAAAGCCACGGCUAACUACGUGCCAGCAGCCGCGGUAAUACGUAGGUGGCAAGCGUUGUCCGGAAUUAUUGGGCGUAAAGCGCGCGCAGGCGGUUUCUUAAGUCUGAUGUGAAAGCCCCCGGCUCAACCGGGGAGGGUCAUUGGAAACUGGGGAACUUGAGUGCAGAAGAGGAGAGUGGAAUUCCACGUGUAGCGGUGAAAUGCGUAGAGAUGUGGAGGAACACCAGUGGCGAAGGCGACUCUCUGGUCUGUAACUGACGCUGAGGCGCGAAAGCGUGGGG